CCUACGGGCGGCAGCAGUGGGGGAUAUUGCACAAUGGGGGGAACCCUGAUGCAGCGACGCCGCGUGGGUGAAGAAGCGCCUCGGCGUGUAAAGCCCUGUCAGCAGGGAAGAAAAUGACGGUACCUGAAGAAGAAGCCCCGGAUAACUACGUGCCAGCAGCCGCGGUAAUACGUCGGGGGCAAGCGUUAUCCGGAUUUACUGGGUGUUAAGGGGGCGCAGACGGCGAUGCAAGCCAGGAGUGAAAGCCCGGGGCCCAACCCCGGGACUGCUCGUGGAACUGCGUGGCUGGAGUGCAGGAGGGGCAGGCGGAAUUCCUGGUGUAGCGGUGAAAUGCGUAGAUAUCAGGAGGAACACCGGUGGCGAAGGCGGCCUGCUGGACUGCAACUGACGUUGAGGCCCGAAAGCGUGGGGAGCAAACAGGAUUAGAUACCCGGGUAGUC
RNAcentral lists this ribosomal RNA (440 nucleotides) under uncultured bacterium. RNAcentral describes it as "partial 16S ribosomal RNA". It matches the Rfam family "Bacterial small subunit ribosomal RNA", at positions 338 to 795 of the family's 1533-position model. The record is from RNAcentral.